UACGUAGGGUGCAAGCGUUGUCCGGAAUUAUUGGGCGUAAAGAGCUCGUAGGCGGUUUGUCGCGUCUGCUGUGAAAACCCGAGGCUCAACCUCGGGCCUGCAGUGGGUACGGGCAGACUAGAGUGCGGUAGGGGAGAUUGGAAUUCCUGGUGUAGCGGUGGAAUGCGCAGAUAUCGGGAGGAACACCAAUGGCGAAGGCAGAUCUCUGGGCCGUAACUGACGCUGAGGAGCGAAAGCAUGGGGAGCGAACAGGA
Molecule: ribosomal RNA, 254 nt
Filed under: uncultured bacterium
Lineage: Bacteria
Description: partial 16S ribosomal RNA
Rfam family: Bacterial small subunit ribosomal RNA
Source: RNAcentral